Molecule: ribosomal RNA, 255 nt
Filed under: uncultured bacterium
Lineage: Bacteria
Description: partial 16S ribosomal RNA
Rfam family: Bacterial small subunit ribosomal RNA
Source: RNAcentral
UACGGGGGGAGCAAGCGUUGUUCGGAUUUACUGGGCGUAAAGGGCGCGUAGGCGGCCAGCACAAGUCAGUUGUGAAAUCUCCGGGCUUAACUCGGAAAGGUCAACUGAUACUGUGCGGCUAGAGUGCAGAAGGGGCAACUGGAAUUCUCGGUGUAGCGGUGAAAAUGCGUAGAUAUCGAGAGGAACACCUGCGGCGAAGGCGGGUUGCUGGGCUGACACUGACGCUGAUGCGCGAAAGCCAGGGGAGCGAACGGG